This 254-nucleotide ribosomal RNA is filed under the name uncultured bacterium. Its description in RNAcentral is "partial 16S ribosomal RNA". It matches the Rfam family "Bacterial small subunit ribosomal RNA", at positions 524 to 776 of the family's 1533-position model. The record is from RNAcentral.
UACGGGGGGGGCAAGCGUUGUUCGGAAUUACUGGGCGUAAAGGGCGCGUAGGCGGUUGGAUAAGUCAGCUGUGAAAACCACGGGCUUAACUCGUGGCCUGCAGUUGAGACUGUCUGGCUUGAAUCCGGGAGAGGGAUGCAGAAUUCCAGGUGUAGCGGUGAAAUGCGUAGAUAUCUGGAGGAAUACCGGUGGCGAAGGCGGCAUCCUGGACCGGCAUUGACGCUGAGUGAGCGAAAGCCAGGGGAGCAAACGGG